Molecule: non-coding RNA, 1756 nt
Filed under: Pan troglodytes (chimpanzee)
Lineage: Eukaryota; Metazoa; Chordata; Mammalia; Primates; Hominidae
Source: RNAcentral
GGAGAAUGCGCGGGUCGAGUGCUGUAGUUCGAUAUUUGCGUGUGUGCGUUGCUUGCGGCCUUUGUGCCUUUUUAUUCUUUGCUUACCUUUAUGAUAUAAAGACCUUAUUUCUUACAAGGAGGAAAAGACCGCUGACUUCAGAAACAGCGGGAACUCCAGCUCGUCCCCGGUAAUUCAAGAGGAAACGCUUGAGCAAUUACUGAUGUUGUAAACUGGGAUCAGAAGACAUACAUGGUAUCGUAUCCCAGGCAAGGCACAGUGGCUCACACCUGUAAUCCCAGCACUUUGGGAGGCUGAAGAAGGCAGAUCACUUGAGGUCAGGAGUUCGAGACCAGCCUGGCUUACAUGGUGAAACCCAUCUCUACUGAACAUACAAAAAUUAGCUGGACAUGGUGGUUAGCUGCACCUCUACUCCACGUGGUCCUCCCUUCAGGUCCCAGGCUGAUGGAGUAGCCUCUGUGUGUUUGGGAUGUUGUCAGUCAUAAUGGUGGACACAAAAGAGAUUAUGACAAACCGUGUAUUGUCUCCUACAAUUUCUGCUCACAGAAGUGGACAACAUCACUUCUUUCCACAUUUCAUUGACCAGAGCAAGUCAUGUGACCAAGCCUGAUUCAAAAUAGGCUGGAGCAAGGAGGAGCAGCAAACAUAACAUUCUCAGUUUACAGCUGAGGAAACUAAGCUUCAAGUUGCCCAAGUUUAUAGAAUGAGUCAAUGGCAGAGGUUGAACUCAGAUGACAAAAUUGGGGUCUGGACAUGUGCAAGGACUUUUCCGAAGUCAGCUGGAAAGGAGCUGCUUAGCUGAGAGGUUCUGGCUCCAAAGUCUCCUGUGAAGUUGCAGUCAAGAUGUCUGCUGGGACCCCAGUCAUUUGAAGCCCUGUCUGGGGCAGGAGAAUCUAGGUCCAAAAUGGCCGUUGCAGGAGUCCUUAUCCACACCAUGUGGGGCCUCUUCAUAGAUGUUCGAGUGUCCUCAUGGCAUGGCCACUGGCUUUCCCCAAAGUAAGCAGUCCAAAAGAGGGUAAGACAGAGCCCACACUGUCUUUUAUGAAUUAGCCUUGGAAGUCUAACACGGUUACUUCCACCACAUUCAUUAGUCGUUAGGUACAGCUCACAUUCAUGGGGAGGAAAAUCAGGGCCUGUCUUUAGAUAGGAGAUGUAUCAAAGAAUUUGUGGACAUAUUUUAAAAUCACAGCACUACUCUUGAUGUACUAAGUCAGUGACUCCCCCAGGAGUCUCACAGAGAAUUGACUCCUUGCCCACCUAUACUACCUUUGUGGGUAGAGACUCCAGUAGUGUGCUGGUUAAUGUUCAACCAGUGGCUUUCUAGAAAACAAAAUGUAUGGAUACAUAUAUAUGUUCUAAGUUUUACUGAUAUGAAGAAUGUGUAGCACAGAAUUUAUAAAUAAUAAAAUAUACAGUAUUAUUUAUUGUAAAUUCCAUAAAACCUGUUGUUUUUCACAAAAGGUUUUAGUUUAUUUUUCCCAAAUGCUUGUAUCGGUAACAUUUUCUGUAUUACUUUUUUAUGUCCAGACAAUCAACAAAACUGAAAAAGCCCAGCCUUGUAGCAUUUGCCAGUUACUGUGUAAAUGUCCCCACUAUGGUGGAUUUCAGGUUACCACUAUGAUAUCACAGAAUGCAGAAUUGGAAGGAGAUUCACAGCAGCACCCCAUUAUACUAUAUUUUCACCAUACAGAUGCAGUCGAUGUAAAUUACCUGAGGAGCAUAAAUAAUAAUAAAAUGAAGUUAAAUAAUUCGGAAA